UGUGACGUACUCAGGUGAUUGUAGUUUACAACAAGAAAAGGUUAAAGGACGCUGCUGGCGGCGUUCGCUUUAAUCUUUAUCAGGAACAAAACCAGGUUCAGGGCAUUUGGUGAUCUUUUUAUUACAAGAAAAGUGUGGACAGUGCGUCUUGAUGGUAAAAAGUUCUAGAAGCUCCACAAUCUACUCCCAAAAAUGUAGAAUACAUUCCAUUUGCUGCAGUACAAAAUUAGAUCAGAAUGGCUCAACUAACAAAAAGCAAUAUUGCCAGAAACAAUAACAAGCCAGAAGAAGCUUCUCUCACAGAGACGGAUAUAAGAACUGCUGGUAAGAUUGGUCGUCAGCUGGCAGAGAUAGGAGAUGAAAUUAAUCAGCAUUACAAUGAAACUUUCCAAAGUAUUCCGCUGCACAGGACACGUACCACUACAUGUGUACAUGGGUCGUCCAGCAUCAUUGCACAAUGGAGAUCUUUUUUCUUCUACAAGGGAAUUAAAGCCAUGUUUGGGAUGAUCAAAAGAUGUCUGAUUAAUUCAGUUCAGUAUCCAAUAAUCCAGAGAUUCAGAGUCUGGGUAGCUAAUGCUUGUCCAGCAAACAUCUAUAUCAAAUGGACUGCUGGUUUUCUCGCUGUGUUUUUGCUCGGAGUGGCUAUUGGUAUUGAUUUGUAAGCCAAGGAAUAUGUCCAUAAUUGCACUGAAAGGUCACAAGCAGGUCUUUGGCCAAUACCAUUUAAUGAAAUCCCCACCCAGGAGGUGAAUGUCUAUUUUAUCUUUCUUUCUGUCUUUGUUAGGCUUUAGAUACACUGAGUGCUGGGUCACUUCUAAAAUGAAUGGUAAUAAAGUAGCAUGGUUAACAGAGUAAAUUAUGUGCUUUGGAAUAUUUUUGGCUGUUACUGGAUAACUGUCUAAUAGAUUUUAUAUUUGCAGACACCUGUGUGAUUAUUAUAAUGUAUGCAAAGUGUCACUGCUGUAAAACAACUAAUUGAGGAAUGCUGGCCUUCAUUCUUUUAACUUAAAUCAUAAUUUUCUAUUGGCAAUAUAAAAUAAAAAGAAUCUUAAAAAAAUGUUGUAUUUUUUGUAUUUCUCCUUUGUAGAUG
Molecule: long non-coding RNA, 1090 nt
Organism: Polyodon spathula (Mississippi paddlefish)
Lineage: Eukaryota; Metazoa; Chordata; Actinopteri; Acipenseriformes; Polyodontidae
Exons: 8
Source: RefSeq, a predicted model, not a curated record